AAUUAAAAAAAACUCUUAAAACAAAUUGACAGAUUUUUCCUCUAAAAACCAAAAAUUUCAAUUCAAAAAUUUCAAUGCACUAAAAGAAAAUUCAGAGAAUCAAAACAAAGUUGAAUGCAUAUGUUGAGGGGGAGAAUCUGAAUUUUUAAGCAAAAUCAUUAAAUAUAUAUAAGCCAAACAAUUGAUUGCAUGAUAUGAAGGCUUAUAUAAUUCCAAAUGAAAGGGAAAGUUUUAACUCCAAAAUUUAUUGUUUCACAUCUUUCAAGUUUGGAUAAAUUAAAAAACCAGACACUUGAAUUCAUUUAUAGAUUUCAUUUCCUUGUUUAUUGAGCAAUUCACUUUACAUAUACUCAAUGUUUUGUCAUCAUCAAAAAGGGGGAGAUUGUGGAGUGAUUGAUUAUUGUUGACCCCCUAAUAGAUUUUGAUGAAUACAAAACACUAGAGUAAAAUUCCAUUAUAUCUUAACAAUUUAAUUGAGGAAUUCAUGUGUCUUAUUAAGAAUAUUGUUAAGAAAUGU
This 517-nucleotide long non-coding RNA is filed under the name Phoenix dactylifera (date palm). RNAcentral's name for it is "long non-coding RNA (PDAC_LNC012108)". The record is from RNAcentral. Lineage: Eukaryota; Viridiplantae; Streptophyta; Magnoliopsida; Arecales; Arecaceae.